Molecule: ribosomal RNA, 253 nt
Filed under: uncultured bacterium
Lineage: Bacteria
Description: partial 16S ribosomal RNA
Rfam family: Bacterial small subunit ribosomal RNA
Source: RNAcentral
UACGUAGGGUGCGAGCGUUAAUCGGAAUUACUGGGCGUAAAGCGUGCGCAGGCGGUUCGCUAAGACAGAUGUGAAAUCCCCGGGCUUAACCUGGGAACUGCAUUUGUGACUGGCGGGCUAGAGUAUGGCAGAGGGGGGUAGAAUUCCACGUGUAGCAGUGAAAUGCGUAGAGAUGUGGAGGAAUACCGAUGGCGAAGGCAGCCCCCUGGGCCAAUACUGACGCUCAUGCACGAAAGCGUGGGGAGCAAACAGG